RNAcentral lists this ribosomal RNA (1404 nucleotides) under uncultured bacterium. Its description in RNAcentral is "bacterial SSU rRNA". It matches the Rfam family "Bacterial small subunit ribosomal RNA". The record is from RNAcentral.
AGAGUUUGAUCCUGGCUCAGGACGAACGCUGGCGGCGUGCCUAACACAUGCAAGUCGAACGGAGACUUAACGCUGAAUUGAAGAAAGCUUGCUUUAAGAUAUUCUUGUUAAGUCUUAGUGGCGGACGGGUGAGUAACGCGUGAGUAACCUGCCUUUCAGAGGGGAAUAACGGCUGGAAACGGUCGCUAAUACCGCAUAAAGUAUCGAAGCCGCAUGACUUUGAUACCAAAGAUUUAUCGCUGAAAGAUGGACUCGCGUCCGAUUAGAUAGUUGGUGGGGUAACGGCCUACCAAGUCGACGAUCGGUAGCCGGACUGAGAGGUUGACCGGCCACAUUGAGACUGAGAUACGGCCCAGACUCCUACGGGAGGCAGCAGUGGGGAAUAUUGCACAAUGGGCGCAAGCCUGAUGCAGCAACGCCGCGUGAGGGAAGACGGUCUUCGGAUUGUAAACCUCUGUCUUUGGUGAAGAAGAAAGUGACGGUAGCCAAGGAGGAAGCCACGGCUAACUACGUGCCAGCAGCCGCGGUAAUACGUAGGUGGCAAGCGUUGUCCGGAAUUACUGGGUGUAAAGGGAGCGCAGGCGGGACUGCAAGUUGGAUGUGAAAUGUCGAGGCUUAACCUCGGAACUGCAUCCAAAACUGUAGUUCUUGAGUGGAGUAGAGGCAAGCGGAAUUCCGAGUGUAGCGGUGAAAUGCGUAGAUAUUCGGAGGAACACCAGUGGCGAAGGCGGCUUGCUGGGCUCUAACUGACGCUGAGGCUCGAAAGUGUGGGGAGCAAACAGGAUUAGAUACCCUGGUAGUCCACACUGUAAACGAUGAUUACUAGGUGUGGGAGGUCUGACCCCUUCCGUGCCGCAGUUAACGCAAUAAGUAAUCCACCUGGGGAGUACGACCGCAAGGUUGAAACUCAAAGGAAUUGACGGGGGCCCGCACAAGCAGUGGAUUAUGUGGUUUAAUUCGAAGCUACGCGAAGAACCUUACCAGGUCUUGACAUCUUGCGCCAACCCUAGAGAUAGGGCGUUUCCUUCGGGAACGCAAUGACAGGUGGUGCAUGGUCGUCGUCAGCUCGUGUCGUGAGAUGUUGGGUUAAGUCCCGCAACGAGCGCAACCCUUGUUACUAGUUGCCAGCAUUCAGUUGGGCACUCUAGUGAGACUGCCGGUGACAAACCGGAGGAAGGUGGGGACGACGUCAGAUCAUCAUGCCCCUUAUGACCUGGGCUACACACGUGCUACAAUGGACGGUACAACGAGUCGCGAACUCGCGAGGGCAAGCAAAUCUCUGAAAACCGUUCUCAGUUCGGACUGCAGGCUGCAACUCGCCUGCACGAAGUCGGAAUCGCUAGUAAUCGCGGAUCAGCAUGCCGCGGUGAAUACAAUCCCGGGCCUUGCACUCACCGCCCGUCA